Molecule: long non-coding RNA, 3725 nt
Organism: Taeniopygia guttata (zebra finch)
Lineage: Eukaryota; Metazoa; Chordata; Aves; Passeriformes; Estrildidae
Source: Ensembl
UUUUUUUUUUUUUUUUUUUUUUUUUUUAAGUAUAUCAAAUUUGUCAGCUAACAGAAACUUCUCCCCCUAAUCCCAUUUGUUGUUAAAGGAGCAUCUCAACUGUUCUGUCCCGGAAGCCCCUUAAUAAGGGGUCAGUGCUGUCUUAUCUGGGGAGAUACUUUGCCUGAGGUUGAACACAAUUAUAAGUCUCAGUGAAAUGAAACUUCCCAGAUGGUUAUCAAAGGAAUAAUUGACAAGUAUUACUUCUAGUGACUCCCUUUGUGCUUUUAUUGAAGAUUUUUAUUAACCACUGGAGCAGUAAGUGGAGUCUGGGCUUCCUUGUUUUUUUAAAGCACCAUCGCUGCUUUAAAUUUCCUGUAAAAUGUCAUAUUUGUUUUGUUCUCACUUGUCACUAUUCAAAUGUUCUAGCACUCAUGGUGGUUGCACAUGCUCCAUCAACAACAGUAGCUGGUGUUGGAUCUGCCUUCUGUUUUGGGAGAACUUUUUGCUCCCUGUGGGAUAAUAAUACAGAUAUUAUGGCAUUUACAAGGAGCAAAGACAAUAUUCAGUGGCCACACUAUGGAAUCACAUGUGUGUUAGUCCAAAGGAGCACAAUUUUCUGCCAGGAAGACAUUGGCUGAUGCUGCCUAUAUCAACUUAAAUGUAAAACACUUUGCUUUUCUUACAGUAAUUACCUACUUUUACAAAGAGGGAGUUGACAUCAUAGUAGGAGCUGACCAGAUCCAGGAAUUUCUUUGAACUUAUCUUGCCUUACUCAAGUUGAAGAGUUUUUAAAAAAGUAGCACAAAUGUGUCUGCAUGGGAAAUGAUCCAUGGAAUAAGAUGCUCUGUCACACAGGCAUUUAUCCUGGGGAGGAGCCAAGGAAAACAUAGUUUGCAGAAUGCCCAGCAGGAAGGUGUUCAGAUGCUUCCAUAAUUUUUGGCAUAUUGUAUUCCUGGCUUAAAGCCCUGGGGUUACAAUCUCUAAUGAUUGCUUAUGAAAUUGUUGUAAGCCAAUCUAGGGCCUUCUGCAUGUUCCCACCUUUCCUCCCCCAGCUGCAGGUCCCACACUGUAGGUUGUUGGUUGCAUCACAGCAGUUUUGACUGCAGGGAAAUUCAUUCCUGCUUGCCCAACCACCAGGAGCUAAUUACUGUUUUCCAGGAUUAAAUUGUUCAGGGACUGUGCACUGACCCAAAUCACUGCCUGCCUGCGAAGGCAUUGGUGGUUGUUGAGGCAUGAGAAGGGAAAGGACAGGCAUGGGAGCCAGGAUGCCCUCCUUCCCUGGCUGGUGAAUCCUAUCCUGUCUGUCCAGCUGCUUUAGUAACAUUGCCUGAGGCUGUUCCUCCAUAACCACUUCAGUGGCAGCUGAAGAAACUCCUCCUCUUCACCACUGCACUCCUCACAAACUUCCCUUCCCCCUGCCUGGGACAACUGCUUGGGUGGUUGUGUAUGAAUUGGGCUGGAGAGAAUAGAGCUGCUUGGGACAAACCUGAAACUUGGAAGAGGGCCCUAUGCAUAGGUGCAGAGUGGUGUGGUUUGUUCCUGGCCGUGUAGGCUGCUCUGGCUGGUGGGACCUAUUUCCAACCUUUAGUAUUUCUAUAAGCACCUGCUUCCCUUUUCCUUUUCUAGCAGCAGCCUCCUGCUCUCCCUGCAGUUGUUAAGGCAAAGACAGCAGGAGUGGGGCAUGUUUGGCAGCAGACCACAACCUGGACUCUACACAGCCCCAGCUGAGUAGGCACUUGGGGGUCAGGGACUGCUGUGUGCCUGGUGGUCUUCCUCAAAUGCCCUCCCUGAAACCACUGUUGUGGUUUCCCCUUCCAUCCUCUAAGCCUGGGCCAGGCGCAGGCCCCUGUUAAAGACCCCCAAGUCUUUUUAAGUCUGAAAACACUAGUUUGUGUUUGCCAGAAGCACAGCUUGGGGACUUGACAGCACAGACAGCACUCGGAGGAGCUCACCCAGAGGAGCCCUUGAAGCUGUCAUUUGCGCUAGAUUUUCUUGCUGAGUGUUGAGGAAGUCAACUGAGUAUUUGGGUCAGGUUGUCUCUACUUAAGCCUGUCUGUGAAACUGGAAGUAUCCCAGGGAGGGUCCCAAACACCCCAUCCCCUCUGAACCCAGCCCUUAGGCAGUUAGGACUUUGCCCCAGUUUGCCAGCCAGGGACCUCCUCACCACCAACAGGUGUUUGUGGCCAGGUGCACAACACUACAUGGGUGUUUUGCAAGGCACAUUCCUCAGGGGGAAUGGAUAUUCUUGUUUUUAACCCAUCUGAGCUGCAUGAAGUCCAGACGGGAGGGCUUAGACAACAGCAGAUAAUUGGAUUGUUUUGGUUUUGGCAGGUUGAACCUUAGCUGUUGCAUUACUUAUAGUGUUGUUCUUUGAAUACUACCCUAGCCGUCAUCAUUCACAACAGGAUUUCAGAGACCUCCUCAUUUUUCCUGCUCUCCAUUGCAAAAGUAAGAAUUUGCUGAUAAUGCUUAAUAUGUUCCUGCUGCAUAGCAGCUGGAUCUGCUUUUGACCAGAGUUGUAAAGUAAAAUUUAAUUCUCUACAACUGCUUCAGUCAGAUAGCAAACACAGAGGGAGGACUAUGUUAGGUGCUGCCCAGGUUAUUAAAAAAGUGUGUGAGUUGUCCUCACUCUUUAAACUAUGGAGGGAAUUAAUCUCCACAGCAGGACCUCUCCCAGAAAUGUUGCAGGAACUUAUAUCAGGCUUGUGCUGCCACUACAAAAACUGAACUGGUUUUCUGAUGCUGUAGUCCCUGUUUGUGGACAUGCAUACAUAUGUGUGUAUACACACUUGUAUGUGCCUGUACUGGAGGGGUGAUGAAAUCAGAAGGUGACUGUGAAAAAUUAAGGCCUGAGCAUGUGGAAAAGAAUCUUUUUUCCUCCCCGUGUUAGCUGAAAGCCUGGCUGAUGAUCAACAGUGACAUCAGUAUUUAUGUAAGGUGUAACAAGGUCAUAGUGAGGGGAUUCUUGGUGAGGAAAAAAAUAGUAUUUUUUAUACACUUUCUUUUCUGCUAAUUAGAUUGAAAAAAACCCCAUUGGUUUAGGUGCACAAAAUGAGGGGGAAAAUUAGAACUAAGAGUCAAGUUUGUUUGGGGAAGCACAGCAGAGUCCUUCAUGACAAGCCAAACCUAGACAGGCAGGAAAGACACACCAGAAGGGACAUAGAAAGAGAAGUCCCAUCUAUAGGAGCAGGGCAGCCUUCAGUAGGUGCUACUGAGGGUAAAAAAGAAAUUAAGGGAAGUUACCCUGGUUCUGUAGCUGGGUCUAUUUGACUGUGCUGCACCCCACAGGCAGGAUGUGGAAUGCUACUGGCCCUGCCAGGAAGCACAGCUCACCAGGCUUGCUGCUGCAGCCAGAGGCCACACACACACAGGCGGGAGACCUGCAGGAGUGAUCUGGAUGUUUGUCACUGCUUAGAGGCAGAGAAAAAUGGCCCUCUGAGAAAGGACAGAAAGAAGGGGACGCCUGGAGCGACACCUGCAAGGGGGGGGGGGUAGGAGUGGUAUCCCUGGCAGCGCAUUGGCAGGAAGUGAGAGCUGUCUAGACUGCUGGGCAGGGGAGGGAUUACCUCUGAGAAGUGUCGAAGUCAGGAAACCUUUUCUGGAGAGCUGUCAUCCUAGUUCUUUGCCUUACUCAGCUGAGAGGCAAAAAGCUUUGGAGGAGUGGUUGACACUGUUCUACUGUUGACGCUGUAGAUAUGUAACAGAGCUGUGUCUCUUAGGCAUUUAAGGAUCAAAAAAAAAAA